UACUCCUACGGGAGGCAGCAGUGGGGAAUUUUGGACAAUGGGCGAAAGCCUGAUCCAGCCAUGCCGCGUGCAGGAUGAAGGCCCUCGGGUUGUAAACUGCUUUUGUACGGAACGAAAAGACUCUUUCUAAUAAAGAGGGUCCAUGACGGUACCGUAAGAAUAAGCACCGGCUAACUACGUGCCAGCAGCCGCGGUAAUACGUAGGGUGCAAGCGUUAAUCGGAAUUACUGGGCGUAAAGCGUGCGCAGGCGGUUAUGUAAGACAGAUGUGAAAUCCCCGGGCUCAACCUGGGAACUGCAUUUGUGACUGCAUAGCUAGAGUACGGUAGAGGGGGAUGGAAUUCCGCGUGUAGCAGUGAAAUGCGUAGAUAUGCGGAGGAACACCGAUGGCGAAGGCAAUCCCCUGGACCUGUACUGACGCUCAUGCACGAAAGCGUGGGGAGCAAACAGGAUUAGAUACCCUGGUAGUCCACGCCCUAAACGAUGUCAACUGGUUGUUGGGUCUUCACUGACUCAGUAACGAAGCUAACGCGUGAAGUUGACCGCCUGGGGAGUACGGCCGCAAGGUUGAAACUCAAAGGCCACAUGCUCCACCGCUUGUGGCUGCUGCCUCCCGUAGGAGUA
Molecule: ribosomal RNA, 623 nt
Filed under: uncultured bacterium
Lineage: Bacteria
Description: bacterial SSU rRNA
Rfam family: Bacterial small subunit ribosomal RNA
Source: RNAcentral